GGGGCCGAUCGGCUUCGACGUGGGGUGGAACGUUUGUCUGCGUGCUGGCGGCGCCUGCUCCGCCUCAUCAAGCGGGUCGUUUUAUUUGCGAACGAUAACGCACAACUCCUCGCUGCUUGACAGCGGGUGCCCGAGAGGGAGGUCGUCCUAGUACCUCGAGGGUGUCAACCACAGGACUGGAUCGCGUGAGCAAGGUAUCCGAUAGCGCGAUCGAGAUAAGAGGAUGCUAGGUCGUGGCCGAACCCACGAACCCCGUCGCGAGGGCUAGAGCGACUACGCACGUGAACGAAGGCAGACCGGAAGCCUUGCGGACCCGGGUUCGAUUCCCGGCGGCUCCACUG
RNAcentral lists this transfer-messenger RNA (341 nucleotides) under Deltaproteobacteria bacterium. It matches the Rfam family "transfer-messenger RNA". Rfam says of the family: Bacterial tmRNA, also known as 10Sa RNA or SsrA, is named for its dual tRNA and mRNA-like properties. Lineage: Bacteria; Pseudomonadati; Myxococcota; Myxococcia. The record is from RNAcentral.